This 7932-nucleotide long non-coding RNA is filed under the name Marmota monax (woodchuck). Lineage: Eukaryota; Metazoa; Chordata; Mammalia; Rodentia; Sciuridae. The record is from RNAcentral.
GCUCAGCCUCUGGUGCCUUUCCAGGGUCCAGCAGCAGGAAGGCCACCAGCCGGCAGACCUCCAGCCCCGAGCCAGCAGAGGCAGCCCUGCUACCAGGGGUGGGGCUGGGCACCACACCCCUGCGGCCCAGCAGCCACUCCCGCACCAAGACACGCAAACCCAACUUCAGUCCCCAGGAGACAGAGGUGCUGGUGCGGAGGGUGGCACGCCACUACCCACUGCUGUUCGGGGCACUGCGGAGCACACCUGCUCGGAAGCACCACGUGUGGAGCAGGAUCCUACAGGCUGUGAAUGCGCUGGGCUACUGCCGCCGUGACCUGGGUGACCUCAAGCACAAAUGGAGGGACCUACGAGGGGCCGUGCGCAAGAAACUGGCAGAGAGUCCGGCUCCUGGAUUCAUCCUCACACCUGUGGAACGCAUGGUGGCUGAGACCUUCUCGACCCCAGCCUCCCAGGGCAAGAGCCAGGCAACAAGUAAGUGGGCCCCUCCCCACAGCCCACCCCUGGCCUAGCCUGGCCUGGCCUGGCCUGGGCAGUGAGCUGGCUGGCUUCCGGUGCACAGCCCCCAAAGAACGAGACUCCAGGGGAGUGCUGGGGGCCUGAGGAGACGGCUCAUCCCCCUCCCGGCCCCUCGGCUCCUGGGUAGGAAACCCAAGGCCCAGGCCCAGGCAGAGGCCUGCUCAUUUGGGGAGGAGGGGUCAGGUUCAUGCUGGCCCUGAGCUCACGGUCCACUGGGACUUUCCCCAGCCUUGGCAUAGUACAGCAAGGGGACCCUCAAAUCCAUCUCAAAAACUGAAGUCACUCAAAGCCCCUGGGUCUCAUGUGGCCUGGGGGGUCAGUGCCUUUGCCACCACCACUGGCGGCAGCAGCUUGGGGAGCUUAGACCUGCUGCUGGGCUCAGGGCUCCACGGCAGCUGCCACCUUGAGCCAUGGCCACAGCAGGGAGCUGAGUGCCUCCGUCCCUUCCCUGGUAUCUAGAGAGGACACUGGGGCCCCAUGGCCCCGUUUCCCCGUCACUCUAGAGAGACAAGUUCCAGGAUGGUGAAGGCAUCCCUUAGAUAUACAGGGCCCUACUCUGUGUAUCUAAGGGAGGUGCAAAGACUGAGGUCCAGGGGCCUGGCUGAGCAGCCCAGGCCCAAAGCCCAGGCACAGUCUCCGAGGCCCCGCUCCUCUCUGCCAUGUCUGCUGCGUCUGGUGUGGUGCGGCUGGGAGGCCUCUUUGGCCCCAGGCCAUUGUCCACUCUGUCUUCUCAGGAGUGCUCAUGACAAAGGUCAGGGCAGUGACUGUCCUUAGGCCACCAAGUGUUAAUAGCAGAGGAACCAAGCAAGGCAGCAAGCUUGGGUGGCCACAGGCUUGAAGAUGUGGCUGUGGCUGGGAGGAAGGAGGCUGCCCUGCAUAGCUCCCUCCUCCUCCAAGCUGGACCAGGCCUGGAGUGAGAGUGCCCAGGGUUGAUGCCAUCAGAUGGCAAGCCACCAGCAGGUGGAGGCUGCCUGGCCGGAGCCACGUCCAGCCACUAACCUUUGCUGUGCCUUUUGGUGUCAGAGGUGGCCUCUGUGUUGGUGAAUGCUGCUGGAGAAUUUGGCCAGAGCCAGGAGGAGCCCAGGCCAGUGCCUUCCCGCCUCAGCCUGCCUUGUCCGGGCCUGGGGAGCAGGACUGCGUGCCCUCCUCAGCAGGCCCUUCAGAAUCGCUCUGGUGCUCUUGGCCUCUCAGAGCGCUUCUUCUGCUGGGCUGCUCCAGGAACCACCUUUUCCAGAAGUCUCUGUUCUUGGCUGGGCCUGUCCUGCAGCCCACACUGCCUCUGAGCCCUCCCAUGAUGCGGGCUCGGGUGCUGUCUCCACUCUGCCUCCUCUGCUGCCCUCCUCCUCACCACCCUGCCUCACAGCCAGGCCUGCUGGACUCUCCUCCUGGGAAGCUCUGGAAGGACGUGGGGAUGGAGCCAGGAGUAAGAUGAGCCUUCUCAGGGUGGGGCAGCCAGCAGGACCCCACCUCAGACGGACCAGCAGGAGGUCCUGGGGGGACUCGGAGCCGUACCUGCUCUGAUCCUUCUCUUCUGUGGUGCCUGCAGCUGGGACACGUGGGCAAGGCCAGGCCUGGCUGGGAGACGUGUAGGUCCAGGACAGGUCUCGUGCUGGGCCUCAGGAUGCACAGGUCCUGAUAGGCCUGGGGAGGCCAGGGGUAUGGGACUAUUACCAUCCCCAGGGAGGCCUCGUGCCUUCUCCUUUAAGGCAGAGGCCUGCCGCUGUGUUCCUGAGGCAGGCUUGGGUGAUUCAGGCAAGGGUGUGCCCUGUGGGGCCUGGGUGUUCAGGUACUUUCUGCAAGUCCCCGACCUGGAGGGCAGCAGGAACGCUGGAGUAUACCCUGCAUCCCCUGCCCUGGGUGAGGCCCAGCCCAGCUUCCUUCAUCCCUGAUCGAUCAGCCGCAGCCCCUAUGGCCUUGUAGCCCUGGUUCUCCUAACGGAGGAGAAGCUUCUGUGGUGCCCAGGAACCUCUUGUGAGAUGGUCUGCAUGCCUCUGAUGUUUGUUGAAUGAAAUGACUGUGUGGGAGGAGCAGACUUGCCCUGAUAGGCACUGAGGCCAGAAGCAGGGAAGUAGCUGCAGGGCCGGCAGUGGGGUGGGAGUGCCCCCCGAUCAGUGCCAGCCUGGGGAAGCAGGACUCGUCCUCUCUUCAGCAGGCCCUGUCCAAGGGUAGCCUCUGGGGCUUAGACAGGGCCGGGCCUGGGGGCCUGGGGAAGUGAGCUGCCGAGCUCAUGGAUUUCCAGUUUCUGUGCUCCGAGGCUGCUGACAGGUGCACUUGCCCAGGGGCGCCUCCGGCUCUCUGCAUUUGUCCUGAGGGGUGGUUGGUGACCAGUGCCAUCUUCUUUAGCCCCUGGAGGCCUGCACAGCCCUUGGGCUUUUCAGAGGCUGUCUGAGGUAGAGCAAGUCCCACAUGCAGCGCCCUGUGCCAGGAGACAGGAGGGUGCCCUGUGGACCUGGAGCCUUCAAGGCAAGGCUUCUGAGCUGUCAGAGAGCCACCUGGCCAUGCCCCAUACAGCCUGGGGCUUAGGCAGGGCCGGGCCUGGGGGCCUGGGGAAGUGAGCCGCAGUUUCUGUGCUCCGGGGCUGUUGACAGGUGCUCUUGCCCAGGGGCGCCUCCAGCUGUCCUUCCUGCUUCCUUCUCUGGCUGCCCUCUGAUGUGACAGGACACUUUGAGUUUGGGGCAGCUGCAGCCUGCCCAGAAGAGGAAGAGGUGUGCUGCAGCCUUGUUGCCCCUUCCCUCCCCGUGCUGGGCUGUGUCCUGGAGACCUGUCGCCCUGUAGCCUGGCCUUGACUGGGUUGGAGGGUGGAGCAAAAGUAGAGACUGGGGGCUCAGGUCUGCCUGAGGCCUAGGGGUUUCUCAAAGGUAGGGCUCCAGGGAUGAGGCCGCCUUCUCUCAUAGAGCAGCCGCCCCCGCUGGAAGGCUGGGAGUCGCCGCUCCCUCUGCAGGCCCCAUGGGGCUGGGGGCACACGCUGCAGCGGCUCAAUGGCCCUCGGCCUCCUGGGCCAUAGGUGGGCCCUUUGCAGUGGGUGUCCGCUGCCUGAUUCCCGAGGCAGGCCUUCCGACCGCUGCCCCUCCCACAAGGACUUCACGUGUCUCAGGCGAGUGCCUGCCUCUGCUGGCCUCUGGGGCCUGCCGCACUGGGUGUUGACUGCCCUCUGCCCCUGUGUGGCCUGAGUUUGCCCAGUGGAGUCAGGACAACUGGACGUGCCUUCUGCCAUGUGGUGCUACUUCUUGGCCACUGCCUGGUGUAAAAUUUGUCCCCAGGACUGGGCCCAGGCCGUGCCUUCCCAAAGCCACUGGUCCCCAGCCAGCCCCAUGCUCUUUGAAUGGCCUUGUUGGAACCCAGCCACCGUAGAGUCCCACGUUCACAGCCCUGUCCUCUCAGCGGCACUGCAGGACCUGUCCCUGAGGGGGGCCAUGGCCAGAUGGGAGGCCGCCCGAGGCAGCCGCAGGCGGCUCUGGCUUUCCUCUUCACUCUUUCCUGAGGGGCUUUCCCCUGCCGCCUCCAAAGUCUGCUUCCCCAAGGACACUUCCAGGCCCUGGUCCUUCUCUCAAGGCCGAACACUGUCCACACCAGGGUGAUCCUUGAGUGGGCCCUGAGCCGCAUCCCUGCAGCCUCUGACCCUUUAGAGGCUGGACCUCGUUUCUUGAGUGUGCAGCCCACAUGGGAAGGAGCUCAGGGGCGGAUGCACGUCCAGCCAACCUGGGCUCGGGCUCCCCUGGGGCUCGGGCUCCCCGGGGCUAGCUCAGGUGAUGUAGGCUGGUCAAAACGUGGGCCUCCACCUGGUGACCGCCUUCUGCUGUGGUGACUUGCAGAUAGUACUGCAGCAGCACGUGUGGAGGCGGCCGGGGAGCCCCGGGCUGGGCUGGGCUGCCAUACCAAGUAAGUGGGUCUGAGGGUAGGAGCGCUGGCUGGCCCAGCCUCGGUCCCUUUGUCCCUCACCCAUCUGUCUGGGAAGCCAGGCCCUGCCUGUGCCUAGAAGGGACAAGCCCAUGGUCUUCUUUGAGUCAGGCCACUGGCUUACGUGUGGGCACUGGGAGGGGGGAAGAAGGGACAGAGCCAUGGUCUGAGUGGCUCCCGCAGUGGUCAGCACCAUCUCCUCUCAUUUGGACUCCCCACCACCUUACCCCUCAGCUUCCUCACCCGCCUGGCCUACAAGGUGGUGGUUAGGUCUGUAACUGGCACAGUGGGAGCUGGCCAGUGGGGUGUGGGCAUAGCGUGGCUGUGCUUCCGGGGAGGCCGGUGCACUGUGGUCCUCACUGGCAGGCUGCCCUAGGUAGCCCUGACCCCCUUGUCCCAGGAAGGCUGGCCGGCUCUGCCUGUCUGCCCUUCCUGAGCGCUCUCCAGGCCUCACUGUGGGGUGCUAGCCUGGGGCUCUGCAGCUGCCUGGGGCUGCUGCUUGGAGGUGUGGGUGGGUUUUAGGGAGGGAGACAAACCUCCACUGUUGCACACGAGCAGGACCCAGAGCAGACUUGAGGGCCACCAUCGCCUUGUGCCCACCACCAUGAGGAGGGCCUGACCGCGCCAGGCAGGCUGGAGACCUUAGUCCAGCAGGAAGGAGGGCCAGCAGCCUUGUCCCCUGGCUCACUUGCUCACUGUGUUCCUUUGGUCCCUGCUGGCUCCUACAAGCAGAUCCUGUCCCUUGAGUUUGUGUCCCAAGGACCAGACAGGUGGGCAUUCAGUCUGGACAUGGGGGUGGUGGGGUACCCUGGGAGUUCAGAGGCCCCCCAGGUUGGCUGGGGUGGGAGGGCUCCCCGGAGAGCACACACCUGCUGCGGCUGAGCCGAGGGAAGGUCUGCUGAGUCCUGAGGACAGGCCACUGCAGCCCGCUCCAGUGAGGAUGGUCGUGUGAGGGCUGUGACGAGGGAGGGGCAGCCACAGUGCCUUGCUUUCCUGGGGGUCUGGGGAAUGCACUGUGCUUGGCAAAAGCCCUCGGUGGCCUUGGAGAGCAGGAAACGAAGAGCCUUGGUGGGGAGAAGGUAGAGGCGAGGUGGGGCUUGCUGCCCCCAGGCUGAGGCUGACCUCCACGCUGGGGUGGGUGGCUGCAGGCCUCGGCUGGCAUUCAGCAGGAAUGUGUGACGGAAUGAUGGUCAGGGCCUGGUCACAGCUGCCUUCCCCCAUUUUCCAUCAUGGCCAUCAGAUUCAAGGUCAGUGUGGCCAGCGGUGGCCCUUUGUGAUGGCUGGUGAGUGGGACUGGGGCACCUUGGGAUGGCCACUCAGGCUCCUGUCCAACCCUCAGUCCCAGCCAUCUUGUGGCAUGGACAGGUCUCCACUCAGGGCCCUUCCAGAAGCUUCCUGGGGUGGGACUUGCAGGCCAGUGCAUCAGGAGGCACACACACAGAGGACCUUGUCCUGAAUGACAAGAGGACUUGAGUGCCCAGGACCAGCUGGUCAGGAAGGAUGCACAGAUGCCUGGGGCAGCAGAGGGAGAUGUGACCAUGGGGAGGAGGAGGAGGAAGCAGGAGGGGAGGUAGCCACACCGACCAGCUCCUCCCGGUGGGUGUGGGGCCCAGAACUUCCCCCACUGUAGAUGAGGUGAGUGGACACAGCAGGUGGUCUGCCAGAAGCCACCAGCACAAUGCCCUGCCCCCAUUGGCAUGGCCCUCCCACAAGCACAUCAGGAAGGGAUGUCUGCUGGCCUGUCCAUGCCCAGAGGCCCCAGGCCUUCCCCUUUCAGGUUAGGAAUUGGCAGCCUAGAGAAGCAGGGGAGGUCCUAGUGCCCCCCAGCCGUGGAGACCAGGCCCAGCUGGUCUGGGAGCUCAAGUCCUUUGGACCCUGGGAAGCGCAGCCCCCCUUCCUUCUGAGAUGGCACUGUGGGAACUCAAGGCAGGCGGGGGGCGGGGCUGGAUAGAAAGCUCAGUGGGAAGACGGAUGGAUGGGUCAAUGAAGUGACAAAAAGUGGAUGACAGACAGUGGGUAAGUGAGGGCUGAGUGGCUGGUGAGCAGGUGGGUGGAUGGAUCCAGGCGAGGAGAAGGGUAGUGGGACUGCCUGGGUGACAGAGCAAGAUGAACAGGUGGGUGGGCAGGAGGAUGACUGUGGAGAGACAGAGGAACGGCCAGGGUGCCAGUAGAUAGAGGGACCCCUGGGUGGGCAGACGGGAAAGGCGGCGGGGGACGGGGGGGGGGGCCCGCCCGGCUGCUGCAGCAGGUGCCUUUGCCUCGCGCACCUGGCCUUCUGCAUCUCUAAAGGGCGCCGUGCUAGCUGCCGAGGGGACUGGCCCUGAACGGCUGCAGGCAGGGGGCCUCGUGUGUCUGCUGCCUCCCACCUGCUCCCCUGUCGUGCCUGGUACUGCCCACUGGUGGCCAGCCCAGACUGACCCUCCCCUGUCUCCCUCUGUUAGCCGACGAGGAAGACGAGGAUGAAACUGCCAACUGCCUGUGGCGACCCCUGAGGACCCCGGAAGGGCCCAGUCCACCUGAACCUGACCCCCUGGACUUCCGAGGAGCUCUCCGUGCAUCCACCUCCUCACCCUCCCUGCCUGCCUCCCUGGCAUCUGUGCCCCCAGGGGCCGCGGGCAUGGGUUCCUUUGGGCCCUCCCCACCUUCCUCAGCACCAGCAUCUACGCUGCCCCUGCCCUCCGGGAGGACCCUGUGCACAGCGUCUGAGGCCUCCGUGUUUGAGCAGCAGCUGCUGGACUCCCACCUGCGGCAGGGUGCCCUGCUGGCCUCCUGGUCGCAGCAGCAGGGUGCGCUGAUGGCCCAGCAGAACCUGCUGCUGCAGCGGCUGGCGGAGCAGAGCCAGCGGCUGGCUGAUGGUGUCGAGGCCCUCAGCCGGACCCUGGAGCGGCUGGUGGCAGUGCGCCCAGCCCAGGAGGGCUCACCCUCCAUCCUAGAAGGUAGCCCUGCUGCUGGAGGGGCCUGUGGACCCACCAGAGGCCCCCAGGACAGUCCCCAGGGUGCCCACCCAGGCCCAGAGGUCUUCUCGGGGCUGAUCCUGAAGGUGGAGGAAGAGCUGUAGGACUGGCCCAGGGUCCCCUUUGGCACCAGGCCAGGGAGAGGACAAGGACUGAGGAAGCCUGGAGAGGGUGUGGGGCGUCUCCCCACGGUGCCUUUCUGUCCCUGGCCUUGGGUGGGUGUGGCGACCUGCCAGUCUGGCCUCAGCACCAACCUGCUGGUCCAGGCCAGGGUCUACUCAGGACAGUGGCAGUGAGUCUGACCUCCCCCUGCCUGGAGCCCCCUGGGCCCGUGGCUGCCGUUGGCUGCGGGUCACCUCUGCAGGCCGGCACCAGUGGGGGGAGGUGGGGAAAAGACGCUCAGCCCGGGGCCUCGGAGCCCUGGGGAGUGGGGACUUGGCAGCUGCGCGGGCUCAGAGGGCCCGGGCUCGGCUCCUUGAUUCUGGUUCAGGGGAGCCCCGUCCGUGAGCCUGGAGUUAAUUCUCUUCAAUUUUAUAUCAAUGUCAUAAAUACAUAAAUGCAG